RNAcentral lists this ribosomal RNA (255 nucleotides) under uncultured bacterium. Its description in RNAcentral is "partial 16S ribosomal RNA". It matches the Rfam family "Bacterial small subunit ribosomal RNA", at positions 524 to 776 of the family's 1533-position model. The record is from RNAcentral.
UACAGAGGGUGCGAGCGUUGCCCGGAUUUACUGGGCGUAAAGGGCGCGUAGGCGGUCAGCACAAGUCAGUUGUGAAAUCUCCGGGCUUAACUCGGAAAGGUCAACUGAUACUGUGCGACUAGAGUGCAGAAGGGGCAACUGGAAUUCUCGGUGUAGCGGUGAAAUGCGUAGAUAUCGAGAGGAACACCUGCGGCGAAGGCGGGUUGCUGGGCUGACACUGACGCUGAGUGCGCGAAAGCCAGGGGAGCGAACGGG